This 174-nucleotide ribosomal RNA is filed under the name Triticum aestivum (bread wheat). Its description in RNAcentral is "partial small subunit ribosomal RNA". The record is from RNAcentral. Lineage: Eukaryota; Viridiplantae; Streptophyta; Magnoliopsida; Poales; Poaceae.
AUGGCAUCCCUCACCAUGCUCAUCGGAUGGACCAUUUGGAAUGAGAGGAACGCACAAAUUUUCCGCAACAAGAGCAUGCCACCCCCAAUUCUGCUAAGCAACAUCAAGAGUGAAGCCCUCACCUGGGUCACCGCCGGGGCUAAGAAGCUAGGUACUAUAAUACCGGGAAAGUAA